This 460-nucleotide ribosomal RNA is filed under the name uncultured bacterium. Its description in RNAcentral is "partial 16S ribosomal RNA". It matches the Rfam family "Bacterial small subunit ribosomal RNA", at positions 338 to 795 of the family's 1533-position model. The record is from RNAcentral.
CCUACGGGAGGCAGCAGUGAGGAAUAUUGGUCAAUGGGCGGGAGCCUGAACCAGCCAAGUCGCGUGAGGGAAGACGGUCCUAUGGAUUGUAAACCCCUUUAGGCGGGGAGCAAUGCCGGGCACGCGUGCCCGGAGGGAGAGUACCCGCAGAAUAAGCAUCGGCUAACUUCGUGCCAGCAGCCGCGGUAAUACGGAGGAUGCGAGCGUUAUCCGGAUUUAAGGGGUUUAAAGGGUGCGUAGGCGGAUUGUUAAGUCAGCGGUAAAAUGUCCGGGCUCAAGCCGGGCCGGCCGUUGAAACUGGGGAUCUUGAGUGGGCGAGAAGUAGGCGGAAUGCGUGGUGUAGCGGUGAAAUGCAUAGAUAUCACGCAGAACUCCGAUUGCGAAGGCAGCAUGCCGGCGCCCGACUGACGCUGAGGCACGAAAGCGUGGGGAUCGAACAGGAUUAGAUACCCUAGUAGUC